This 469-nucleotide ribosomal RNA is filed under the name uncultured bacterium. Its description in RNAcentral is "bacterial SSU rRNA". It matches the Rfam family "Bacterial small subunit ribosomal RNA", at positions 32 to 507 of the family's 1533-position model. The record is from RNAcentral.
AACGCUGGCGGCGCGCCUAACACAUGCAAGUCGAACGAGCGAGAGAGAGCUUGCUUUCUCGAGCGAGUGGCGAACGGGUGAGUAACGCGUGAGGAACCUGCCUCAAAGAGGGGGACAACAGUUGGAAACGACUGCUAAUACCGCAUAAGCCCACGACCCGGCAUCGGGUUGAGGGAAAAGGAGCAAAUCCGCUUUGAGAUGGCCUCGCGUCCGAUUAGCUAGUUGGUGAGGUAAAUUGGGCCCACCAAGGCGACGAUCGGUAGCCGGACUGAGAGGUUGAACGGCCACAUUGGGACUGAGACACGGCCCAGACUCCUACGGGAGGCAGCAGUGGGGGAUAUUGCGCAAUGGGGGAAACCCUGACGCAGCAACGCCGCGUGAAGGAUGAAGGUCUUCGGAUUGUAAACUUCUUUUAUUAAGGACGAAGAAAGUGACGGUACUUAAUGAAUAAGCUCCGGCUAACUACGUG